This 63-nucleotide transfer RNA is filed under the name Xenoturbella bocki. Its description in RNAcentral is "transfer RNA-Tyr". Lineage: Eukaryota; Metazoa; Xenacoelomorpha; Xenoturbellidae. The record is from RNAcentral.
GGCAAGGUGGCAGAAAUUGUGGUAGAUUGUAAAUCUACUUAUGAAGGAAGACUUCUCUUGUCA